CUCUGGGAGGGGCAGGGUUGGGCCCUCUCUGCCAUGGGGUUCCUUACAGAGGAAGGAGGCACAUUAAGCCUUCUCUCUCCACUGCACCCCAUCCUUCCCCUCAGCGGCAGCAGGAGUUAUCCUCUCUCCUUUUGUGCCCGGUGCAGGGACCUCCAGUGUCCAGAUGGAGAACGAGGAGGAGGAGGACGUAUCCCCGGAGGAAGCUGCCAUCAGGGUCAUCCAGCAGCAUCUCCAGGGCAGAGAUGAGCAAACUGAAGCCGCCACUGGAGCUGGAAUCAGGCCUCCUGCGAGCUGUCCUGUACAGUGUUUUUACCAUGCACCCAGGGAAGGACACCGCUCACCUCCGGGAAAAUCAUCCCCAAAGGAGGUGUAAGGAUCCUGGACUCUAUUGCCUGCAAGAAGCUUCAGCCACCUUCACAGUCAGGCUAGGGCUCACUGUCCAUUGUGGAGGUGAAAACCGGAUGGGAGCUGCUGGAUUGGCCUUGAUAUGCCAUGUCCUUGUGUGGAUAAGGGACCUACACCACAGAGAUGGCCAGCAGCAGAUGUACCACACAUGAACAGGAAUGGGCUGAACAACCUACACUGAUAGAGCGAGGAACAGAGAUGAAGUGGUGAAGAGUUCCCUGAGACCUAGAAAGGAGGCUGGUUGCGACUCUGUUCUGAUUCUAAGUCCUGUGCUUGGACCACACUCCAGUGCAACCGUCUGUAAAUUAAUGACCUACCUGAACAACAACCGGUGCUGCCGCUGCCUAUCCUGGAGCAGAAAACUGAGAAUUUUGUGGGAGCUUUCUCAGAUCGUUGGCCACUUAGCAGAAUGCAAAAGAGCCAUGUGGUGAUGGGCUAGAGGAGUCACAGGAGUUACCAUGUGGCUGUGUAGCAGGUGCAGUGCCUGCCAUCACCGUGGGCCAAACCCUGGACUCCGGACAAUGCAGGCUAAGUGACCCUUGAUUGCGAAGGGGACUUUGGCUUGGGGAAUCGGUUGCUGGUACCUGUGUCCAUAGACAGAGAACUGAGAUGUUUUCAUGAGGCUACUCAAUGGUACAUGCAGCUCCAUGCAGACAAGUGGCGAAUGUACGUUAAAGAGCGAGGCUGGGACCUCUGCGGAGCUGCUGCACUCAAGCAUCCACAGCCAGGAGAGAGACGAUGGGAAACUUGCUAAGAUGGCUGGCCAUAGCGCUGAGAAAAAGCAGUUUAGCAGCUAGUUCAUGGGAAAUAAAAAGGAACUAAAUAUUGCUCCCUGCUCAAUAAAGUGUUAAAAAUGUGUCUCUUCAAAAUUGCUCUGAACUUUACAAUGUCCUUGUAUAAUUUGCGGCGGGGGGCGGGGGAUUUCUAAAUGUAAUAUUUCAUGCUCCUAAA
Chrysemys picta bellii (western painted turtle) is the source of this 1356-nucleotide non-coding RNA. The record is from RefSeq and is a predicted model, not a curated record. NCBI's taxonomy places the organism in Eukaryota, Metazoa, Chordata, Testudines, Emydidae.